Molecule: long non-coding RNA, 668 nt
Filed under: Populus trichocarpa (black cottonwood)
Lineage: Eukaryota; Viridiplantae; Streptophyta; Magnoliopsida; Malpighiales; Salicaceae
Description: long non-coding RNA (PTRI_LNC002013)
Source: RNAcentral
GGCACUCCUGUGAAAUUUCACCUGCACUAUAUUCCAACUAUUCGAUUACUGUCAUCACCUUUUGGUCCUUGUUGUCCUGUCUUAAGAAACCCACCACACCAUUGCCUUCGCUUUUGCCACUGCUGCCACCACCCCACUAUCACCACCACCACCUCUCCUCCUCUUCCCCCACCAUCACUACUCAGCAGCACCAUAAUCACUCCACCAAAAAAUACAGUUGGAUCUCACGUGUCAGAAUAUUUUGGAACAACUGGGUUGAAAUUGACAGAUAGGCUAUUUAUUAUCCGGGGACGAAAUAUGCCUUUAAACCACGAGUUGAUAAAUAACAGAGGGAAGAAGAACAAGCCAAGAUGCGUGAGAAUGAAUCUGUGGCAGUAGGUUAGGGUCCUGAACAAGAAGGGCUAGAGUCUGAGCCGACAAGAACGGAAACCUUAUAUAUGGCUGAUAAAGUUUGACAAAGAUCCUGUUGAGGGAUGGGUUCAAAGUUUUAAAAUUGGACAUUAAGGCCUGCCGUGCCGGUGUGCAAAUGGAAAUGCUGGGUAUGAUGAUUGCUUUUAUGUGCAUACAAAUAUAACCAAUAUGUAAGUAACCUUUUUUGUUGAGGGAUGGGUUCAAAGUUUUAAAAUUGGACAAUAAGGCCUGCGGGUGUGCAAGUGGAAAUGCUGGGU